GAACGCUGGCGGCGUGCCUAAUACAUGCAAGUCGAACGGUCUUUCUAUGGAAGCUUGCUUCCACUGAGAAGAUAGUGGCGAACGGGUGAGUAACACGUGGGGUAACCUGCCCAUAAGAGGGGGGAGUAACAUCCGGAAACGGGUGCUAAUACCGCAUAGUUUUCUUGGUCGCAUGAUCGGGAAGGAAAGACGGCCUUUGUGCUGUCGCUUAUGGAUGGACCCGCGGCGUAUUAGUUAGUUGGUGAGGUAACGGCUCACCAAGACGAUGAUACGUAGCCGACCUGAGAGGGUGAUCGGCCACAUUGGGACUGAGACACGGCCCAAACUCCUACGGGAGGCAGCAGUAGGGAAUCUUCCGCAAUGGACGAAAGUCUGACGGAGCAACGCCGCGUGAGUGAAGAAGGUUUUCGGAAUCGUAAAACUCUGUUGUCAGAGAAGAACAAGUUGGAGAGUAACUGCUCCAGCCUUGACGGUAUCUGACCAGAAAGCCACGGCUAACUACGUGCCAGCAGCAGC
Molecule: ribosomal RNA, 516 nt
Filed under: uncultured bacterium
Lineage: Bacteria
Description: bacterial SSU rRNA
Rfam family: Bacterial small subunit ribosomal RNA
Source: RNAcentral